GAUGAACGCUGGCGGCGUGCCUAAUACAUGCCAGUCGAGCGAACGGACGAGAAGCUUGCUUCUCUGAUGUUAGCGGCGGACGGGUGAGUAACACGUGGAUAACCUACCUAUAAGACUGGGAUAACUUCGGGAAACCGGAGCUAAUACCGGAUAAUAUUAUGAACCGCAUGGUUCAAAAGUGAAAGACGGUCUUGCUGUCACUUAUAGAUGGAUCCGCGCUGCAUUAGCUAGUUGGUAAGGUAACGGCUUACCAAGGCAACGAUGCAUAGCCGACCUGAGAGGGUGAUAGGCCACACUGGAACUGAGACACGGUCCAGACUCCUACGGGAGGCAGCAGUAGGGAAUCUUCCGCAAUGGGCGAAAGCCUGACGGAGCAACGCCGCGUGAGUGAUGAAGGUCUUCGGAUCGUAAAACUCUGUUAUUAGGGAAGAACAUAUGUGUAAGUAACUGUGCACAGCUUGACGGUACCUAAUCAGAAAGCCACGGCUAACUACGUG
This 497-nucleotide ribosomal RNA is filed under the name uncultured bacterium. RNAcentral describes it as "partial 16S ribosomal RNA". It matches the Rfam family "Bacterial small subunit ribosomal RNA", at positions 28 to 507 of the family's 1533-position model. The record is from RNAcentral.